Long non-coding RNA from Felis catus (domestic cat), 2136 nucleotides. RefSeq lists it as uncharacterized. The record is from RefSeq and is a predicted model, not a curated record. The transcript is spliced from 3 exons. NCBI's taxonomy places the organism in Eukaryota, Metazoa, Chordata, Mammalia, Carnivora, Felidae.
CCUGAGUAAAAGACAUGUGACAAAAUAGGUUUGCACACACAAUCUGGACAGGGCAAAACAAGAACCAAAACAAACUCCUAAAAUGUCACAAGAAGGGGCGAUAUGAGCAAAGGAAUAUACCUUUACCCAGUCUUCCAUAUCUCCAUCUUCAAUCACUUCUAACACCUCAUGUUCCUCAAUGGUCAACUCAUCUGGUUGAGAAGCCUGCAAUGUAGGAUGGUCAUGGACAAAAUUAAAAAGGUUAGAUAAAGAGCAGAUGUGCGCUGAUCAUAACAAAAACUGGGGAUCAAAAUAUUGAAAUGAUUUUGAAAAACAUACCAAACAUAAAAAUUUAAGUGUUGUAAAACUAUCGUAAUGAGGUGAAGUUUUACUUUAAAAAAUUAAACAAAAUAAAGCCACAGCAAAAACUGGAGAAACGGAAUCCUCAAGAGACAAUCAGGUGCAGUGAACAUAGCACUCUGCUGGAAGCAGGGGACCAGGGUUCCAGCUCCAGCUUGUUUCUAUUGGUUAUUCAACUUCUUGAUGCCUCCAUUUCUUCAAAAUGACAAUCCUGCCAUUCUGGGGAGGAUGAGGGAGUCAAUGUGGGAUGAAUAAGCUGAGAACCAUGAUGAUCUGUGAAGCACAGGCACAGGAGCAAGCGCUGAAUUAGAACGGCACCCGAGGGCUACCAUGGAGGCGCAGGCCGUGAAAAUGCAGAGAACUAUGUACAUGGAUUGGAUGACAGCUUGAGCAGCGCCUAGAACUGAUCUGGAAUCACUGUGCGAUAAACAAUGGCCAGGAGAAUUAGAGUUGCAGGAAAGAAAAUGGCUGAGAUCGUCCACAAUUUGGAUUUAUUAUGCUCUAACUUAACUGUGGAGAAUGGGCUGAUCCACUUAGAUGCUUUCGUACAGGCUGCUAACUGUGAUGGUUUUAUGGUCUCUGACGUAGGAGUUCACUAGCGCUGGCCACCCAGAUGCUGCUCCCGAGACUGCAGAAUCUGAGCGCAACCUCUAAGGGGCUCAGCAGAGAGGCUGGAGAGAAACUGUGUGGCUUUGUUUCCUAAAGAGACUUGCCUGUCACACGUAGCAGGGCGGGGCCUGCUAGCAUCUUCUGGUUCUCUGUAACUGAAGCAAUGGCCUAGACCAAGAUGGUGAAAGGCGAAUGGGCUCAGGCGACAUGGUACAAUAUUCUCUCGUGGUGCAGCAGCAGCAGCAAGCUACGGCUCCCAGUCAGCCACAAUGUCACAAGGGCAAACAAGGUAUGCUCACAACCAGUGUGUAUCCAUACAAUCAUUCUGGGGUUCACUCUCAGUACAGUAUUCAAUAAUUGGGUAUAACAAAUGUAUUUACCUAGAGUACUGUCCAUGAUACUGAAGUACAAAUAGUAUUUAUAUGAACACAAAUAUCUGACAGGGGGAAGAAGAAUAACACAACAAAGAAUGGAAAUAGAGAUGGCUGUUUUUAAUAUCUCUCUCUCUUUACAGUCUGAACUAUUAGAAUAAGCAUGUCUUACUCUUUUUUUUCAAGUAGGCUUCAUGCCUGGUGUGGAGCCCAGUGUAGGGCUUGAACCUAUGACCCUGAUAUCAAGACCUGAGCUGAGAUCAAGAGUGGAUGUUCAACCAACUGAGCCACCCAGAUGCCCCAAAUAUGUCUUACUUUUUAAAGUAAAAAUCUAAAAAAGAGGAAACAAAACAGGCAAAGUUUCUUUGUUUCUAGCUACAUAUAAACAUCUAUUUAGCUACUUUUUCACAUGUUCAAACAUCCGAAGGCACAAAUGUUUACACAUUAAAGAUAUAAGAAAUGGAUGGUCAGAAUCAGGUCUCACAAUAGACCGAUUAACUGAAAUAUCAAAUACCUACAACAUGCUGAACACUGUGCUAGGCUCUUAGAUAUCAAAUGGAGGACAUGGUUUGCUUUGCAAAAGCUCAUACUCUAGAGUGGAGAAGCCAUCACAACUAAAUGCUGAGUGCGCAGGGGGUCCUGUGAAUAGGAAGGUCAGAGAAGACUUCCUGGCAUUCAGUGAGUUGCAAAGUAGAGGCCUCCUAUACAGUCCACUUUUACUUUUUAGUGAAUUAAAGUGAUUUCUAUUGAGCACUAAUGUUUAAAACUGACUCUAUUCUUAACUGCUAUUUCCAUAAUAAAAUUCUAUAGAAAUGUG